GGGCCAUUAGCUCAGUGGUUAGAGCAGAGGACUCAUAAUCCUUUGGUCCUUAGUUCAAGUCUAAGAUGGCCCA
Molecule: transfer RNA, 73 nt
Filed under: Treponema bryantii
Lineage: Bacteria; Pseudomonadati; Spirochaetota; Spirochaetia; Treponematales; Treponemataceae
Also listed under: 3 other names
Rfam family: tRNA
About the family: Transfer RNA (tRNA) molecules are approximately 80 nucleotides in length.
Source: Rfam by way of RNAcentral